GAUGAACGCUGGCGGCGUGCCUAAUACAUGCAAGUCGAGCGAACAGACGAGGAGCUUGCUCCUCUGACGUUAGCGGCGGACGGGUGAGUAACACGUGGAUAACCUACCUAUAAGACUGGGAUAACUUCGGGAAACCGGAGCUAAUACCGGAUAAUAUAUUGAACCGCAUGGUUCAAUAGUGAAAGACGGUUUUGCUGUCACUUAUAGAUGGAUCCGCGCCGCAUUAGCUAGUUGGUAAGGUAACGGCUUACCAAGGCAACGAUGCGUAGCCGACCUGAUAGGGUGAUCGGCCACACUGGAACUGAGACACGGUCCAGACUCCUACGGGAGGCAGCAGUAGGGAAUCUUCCGCAAUGGGCGAAAGCCUGACGGAGCAGCGCCGCGUGUGUGAUGAAGGUCUUCGGAUCGUAAAACUCUGUUAUUAGGGAAGAACAAAUGUGUAAGUAACUAUGCACGUCUUGACGGUACCUAAUCAGAAAGCCACGGCUAACUACGUG
Molecule: ribosomal RNA, 497 nt
Filed under: uncultured bacterium
Lineage: Bacteria
Description: partial 16S ribosomal RNA
Rfam family: Bacterial small subunit ribosomal RNA
Source: RNAcentral